AUAUUAUCUUCUCCUUUUCUGCUUCCAUGUAAUUAACCUUGAUGGAUAUAUCAACCGCUAUAUAUUGGCUGUAACGUCAUAUGUUUUAUGGCAAUUACCUUCUGAUAUACUAUGCGCUUUUUUAUGCCAAGUAUUAUAUCAUAUGAAAUAUUAUCAGGUACAAUAUUUUGGCUUCUUGAAGUUUAUUUGCAUAUAUCUGGAUUUGGUUGAAUACUUUUUGUUGGCUGUUUGUGCUUUUGUGGAGUCUGAAGAUUAAUCAGGUUUGAUUUUAGCACAAGUUCAAGUUCGCCUUAGAGCUUGAGAUAAAUCCAUUACAAGUCCAAGUGAAGAGGUCCUUGAAGCUAGCAUCGUGGUGUGACAUCGAGGCGGUAGCAUUGUGGUUUAAGAAGAAGUCUAUUGGAGCUCAUGUUACAGAAGGGAAAUUGAAGAUCCUAAAAUCUCUUCAAAGUCCUAAUAGUUGGAACGGUGAUUCAUCUUUGGUGGUUUUCUGCAACAUCCUUUGGUUGAUGAAAAGUAUAAAAAGCUAUGGCUGCAGCUAAAGCAGUGGACUUGUCACCAAAUUUCAACUUGAGAGAGUGGCACAUGGAUCACCACUUUCUUAGAAAAGCAUCCAAGGUUUCCCUCUUUGAUUUUGAGUUUGAUUAACUGCAUGCCAUCUUAUAUUCAAGUUAUCUUACAUUUUUUCAAAUCAUUCCCUUAUAUUUUAGAAAAUAGAUUUUUAUACUUGAAACUUGUGUUAUUUCUUGUGUCAACCUAAUUUGUUAGUGUUUAAUUAAUUCUGUGUACCAGUUUCAUCUAAAACUACAGUUCAACAAAAUAAUAUGAUGAACCAAAGAUUGAACUAUUAGAUGUUUCAAAUUACUUUUAAAAGCAAAGUUAGUAUACAAUUUUUAAUAUUUCUAUGUUUUACCGUUAAUGUCAAUGUAAUUCCUCUCUCUCUCUGAAUAAAUAUAAUUACACUGAGUUAUUUAUGGUGGCACUAAAAUAUGGGUCAAAUAAAUUCUAUUGACUUCAUCGGUUACAUAUUCAUAAAAGUAUUUGCAUUCAUAAAUAGUAAUCUCAUCUUUUACAAAGUUGAUCCUCUUGGAUCACGAAGUUCAUGUGGGCACCACUUGUUGCUAUCCAUGAAUUGAUUGCAAAUUGGUAUUAUUUGCUAUUUAUAAAUAGAUAAUAAAUAGAUAAUAAUUAACUUAAAUGAGUAUAACUUAGCAGUAAUUAACAUAUAUUACUUUCUUUUUUAAGCCUGAGGUUUAAAUUUUCAUACUUUUUCAUUUUUUGUAUUAAAAAAAUGAUUCAAUCCUUAGAGCCAUGUAAAAACUUCAUCAAAUCAUAUAGGACAUGUCAUGGGACUAUGCAUUGGAUUUUGUAGGUAGUUGAGAUAUUCAUUUGUAGUUGAUAGAGUGUCUAUAACAAUAGUUAUCAGGAAACUAUUCAAAUAACACCGUUUGAGGCUCUUUAUAGGAAGAGGUAUCGGUCAUAUGUGUUUUAGGACGAAGUGGGGAAGCACAAACUUUUAGGACCCAAGUUGGUUCAUUUUACUAACGAAGCGGUGCAAAACAUUAGAAUGAGAAUGUGAGCUGCAUAGAGUAGGUAGAAAAACUAUGCUGACUCAAGGAGAAAAAAUUUGAAGUUCAUAGUUGGUGAUCACGUGUUCUUGAAGGUUGCACUUGUGAAAGGGAUAUUAAGGUUUGGGAAGAAAAGAAAAUUAAACCCGCUAUUUAUCGUGCCAUUUGAGGUUUUGAAGCGAAUUGGGCCUUUGGCUUAUUGUUUGACACUGCCUGCAGCUAUGGCUGCAUUUCAUGAUGUGUUUCAUGUCUCUAUGUCAUGUAGAUAUAUAGCAUACCCAUCACAUAUUAUAUACUUGGAUCUAUUCCACUUGAGGGAAGAUCUGAGUUAUGCAGAAAGGUCAACAUAAAUUUGUACGAGAGAAAUAAAGACUUUUUGCAUAAGAGGAAGAUGACACCAGCAAAAGUAUUAUGGGAGAAUCAUCUAUUGAAGCAACCUGAGAAUGAGAAGAUGAAAUAAAGACCAAUUACCCAAAGUUGUUUAAGAACUAGAAUUUUUUUAGGGAUGAAAGCUUUUAAGGAGGAAAGAAAUUGUAGUAAAAAAAAAAAAGAAAAAAGAAAAAAAGAAGGGAAAACCGAAAUCUUGGCGUUGAUUAGCAACAAGCAACGCCCAACAACCUAUUGCCCUGUUGAAAAUAUAGGAAUGAAAUCUAUUGUUGAUCAUUCGUCUUCAAACCCUUGUAGCAUGACACAUGAAUUUCUAUAUAGAGCUUAGAUAUGAGCAUGCUUUGUUGUUUCCUGCCACUCUGUUAUGAUUAUGUAUGUGCCUCUUUAUGUUAUUAGGUUGUUAUGACGAGGCUGCUUUAGUGAUGAGUUAUUUAUACACAACCCACAUAUUUAUCUUAGUUGGUACUGACACGUGACCUCUCUCCUCA
Molecule: long non-coding RNA, 2440 nt
Organism: Cucurbita maxima (winter squash)
Lineage: Eukaryota; Viridiplantae; Streptophyta; Magnoliopsida; Cucurbitales; Cucurbitaceae
Exons: 3
Source: RefSeq, a predicted model, not a curated record